Molecule: long non-coding RNA, 1536 nt
Organism: Canis lupus familiaris (dog)
Lineage: Eukaryota; Metazoa; Chordata; Mammalia; Carnivora; Canidae
Exons: 3
Source: RefSeq, a predicted model, not a curated record
GUUGUUCCCAGCAUCCCCCACCCCCAAUGGCCACGCUGGCGACCUAGAUGGGCCGGACGACUCCCAACGCAGACAUCAUCCCCGUGGCAGCCCCCAAAGCAAGCCCUAGCUCCACCAGUCAGCAGAAAGAAUCACUACGAGCUUCUGCCUCCGAACCUCGGAAAAGGCGGGAAACCGCUCCACCUCAGCGGCCAGCCAGGAAGGACCCGGUGCUCGACGGUUUAACGGCUAAAUAACGGUCGCUCGUGACGGUUUGCCAGGUUCCCGACUCUCGCGAGACUUUCCUCGACGCGGUCACAAUCGCUUCUUCGCACGGGUUCUGUUUCUCUUUAGCGUCAAUGUUCCGUAAGCGUCUGCUGUCGUCGGAGAAUGCAAGGAAGGCUAGCCAGGACUACGAUUGGUUGGAGGGGAGAGUUAAAAAAAAAAAAAAAAAAAUAGAAAAAAAAGAAAAACAUUUCUGGUGUCCAAGAGUUCAAUCUUAGGGAGGACAGUGUUGGGCAGAAGAUGAUAGCCAGGUUUUGUGAUCACUUAAAGAAGCUGAUGAAAGACAUUGUUUCUGACUGUAAAGUUGGGCCCCAUGAAGGAACAUCACUUCAGUUUUUGAUCCUUUGCGUAAUGCAGUCUGGUCCUCAAUUGUCAAAUUUUCAAAUCCUUGAAGAAAAGAUCACAUAGUUGUUUGAAAUCAAUAAUGAAAAGAAAAUGUUCAGGUGUAUGAUUUAAUAUUUUUAAUUAUUCAUUUAGUUAUAAUAGAAUCCUAUAUGUUUCCCUAGAAUAAUCACUAUUUGUAACUUCAAAUCUGAACAAAAUUCUUGAUUCCACGUGGUAGUAUUUUGGAGCACUUUCAUCAGAACUUGUAAUACUUUAAUAUGAGAUUUAAUAAGAGCAAAUGAAACACAGUUUAGCCUCAAAGAAUUUAUUUUUACAGUGAGUUAUCUACAUGUAAAUAGUUCUAUUUUGGCCAACUGUAGCUUUAUUUUUUCAUAUUGUACAGGCAAUUUUAUUUCAUAUUUUAUAUAAAAAACAAAAAGUUUAUUUCGAAACAUUAAAAGAUAACAAUCAUCAUUUGUCUUGCUCUACAUCUUUAGGGUCAUUUAAUAUUUUUAAAUAUUUAUAUUUUCAACCACCUGAUUGUUUUUGCUUUGUUUUGUUUUUAGAGAGAGAGAGUGCAGAAGAGGAGGGAGGCGCAGAGGUAGAGGGAUAGUAGGGCUAGAACUCACGAUCUGAGAUCAUGACCUGAGCGGAAAUCAAGAGUGGGAUGCUUAACCAACUGAGCCACAAAAGCACCACCCCCACACCUGAUUAUUUAAAGCAGACAAAAUGAAUAUGUUUUUGCAUUUGGAAGCAGAUUUGGUAGAAAAAUAGAGGUUUUUGUUUUCCUAAAAUGUCCCGGUUCUUUAAAACAGGGAACUUCUUUGCGGGGGCAGCCCGGGUGGCUCAGCGGUUUAGUGCCGCCUUCAGCCCAGGGUGUGAUCCUCGAGACCCGGGAUCGAGUCCUGAGUCGGGCUCCCUACAUGGAGCCUGCUUCUCCCUCUGCCU